This 252-nucleotide ribosomal RNA is filed under the name uncultured bacterium. RNAcentral's name for it is "partial 16S ribosomal RNA". It matches the Rfam family "Bacterial small subunit ribosomal RNA", at positions 524 to 776 of the family's 1533-position model. The record is from RNAcentral.
GACGUGGGGUGCCAGUGUUAUUCUUCGUGGUUCGGCGUAAAGGGUAUGUAGGUCGUUAAUUAAGUUAUUUCUUAAAGAGAGGCGUAGUACGUAAUAAAAGGUUGAUAAACUGAUUGACUAGAGUUUUGCAGAGGUUUGUGGUACACGUAGAGUACAUGUGAAAUGGUUCAAUUCUAUAAGGACCACCAAUGGCGAAGGCAACAAACUAUGCUCUUCUGACGCUAAGGUACGAAGGUUCGGGUAUCAAAAGGG